GAUGAACGCUAGCGAUAGGCCUAACACAUGCAAGUCGAGGGGCAUCACAUGAAGUAGCAAUACGGAUGGUGGCGACCGGCGCACGGGUGAGUAACACGUAUGCAACCUGCCUUCAACAAGGGGAUAACCCGUUGAAAGACGGACUAAUACCCUAUAACACAGGGGUCCCGCAUGGGAAUAUUUGUUAAAGGACAACCGGUUGAAGAUGGGCAUGCGUUCCAUUAGCUAGUUGGCGGGGUAACGGCCCACCAAGGCAACGAUGGAUAGGGGAACUGAGAGGUUUAUCCCCCACACUGGUACUGAGACACGGACCAGACUCCUACGGGAGGCAGCAGUGAGGAAUAUUGGUCAAUGGACGCAAGUCUGAACCAGCCACGUCGCGUGAAGGAAGACGGCCCUACGGGUUGUAAACUUCUUUUAUACGGGAAUAAAGUGCCCCACGCGUGGGGUUUUGCAUGUACCGUAUGAAUAAGG
Molecule: ribosomal RNA, 474 nt
Filed under: uncultured bacterium
Lineage: Bacteria
Description: bacterial SSU rRNA
Rfam family: Bacterial small subunit ribosomal RNA
Source: RNAcentral